Molecule: ribosomal RNA, 1149 nt
Filed under: metagenome
Description: bacterial SSU rRNA
Rfam family: Bacterial small subunit ribosomal RNA
Source: RNAcentral
GGAAUUUUCCGCAAUGGGCGAAAGCCUGACGGAGCAAUACCGCGUGAGGGAGGAAGGCUCUUGGGUUGUAAACCUCUUUUCUCAGGGAAGAAAGAAAUGACGGUACCUGAGGAAUAAGCAUCGGCUAACUCCGUGCCAGCAGCCGCGGUAAUACGGAGGAUGCAAGCGUUAUCCGGAAUGAUUGGGCGUAAAGGGUCCGCAGGUGGCCAUGUAAGUCUGCUGUUAAAGAAUCUAGCUCAACUAGAUCAAAGCAGUGGAAACUACACGGCUAGAGUGCGUUCGGGGUAGAGGGAAUUCCUGGUGUAGCGGUGAAAUGCGUAGAUAUCAGGAAGAACACCAGUGGCGAAGGCGCUCUACUAGGCCGCAACUGACACUGAGGGACGAAAGCUAGGGGAGCGAAUGGGAUUAGAUACCCCAGUAGUCCUAGCCGUAAACGAUGGAUACUAGGUGUGGCUUGUAUCGACCCAAGCCGUACCGUAGCUAACGCGUUAAGUAUCCCGCCUGGGGAGUACGCACGCAAGUGUGAAACUCAAAGGAAUUGACGGGGGCCCGCACAAGCGGUGGAGUAUGUGGUUUAAUUCGAUGCAACGCGAAGAACCUUACCAAGACUUGACAUGUCGCGAAUCUUUCUGAAAGGAGAGAGUGCCUUCGGGAGCGCGAACACAGGUGGUGCAUGGCUGUCGUCAGCUCGUGUCGUGAGAUGUUGGGUUAAGUCCCGCAACGAGCGCAAGCCUCGUUUUUAGUUGCCAGCAUUAAGUUGGGCACUCUAGAGAGACUGCCGGUGACAAACCGGAGGAAGGUGGGGAUGACGUCAAGUCAGCAUGCCCCUUACGUCUUGGGCUACACACGUACUACAAUGCUACGGACAAAGGGCAGCUACACAGCAAUGUGAUGCAAAUCUCAGAAACCGUAGCUCAGUUCAGAUCGCAGGCUGCAACUCGCCUGCGUGAAGUAGGAAUCGCUAGUAAUUGCAGGUCAGCAUACUGCAGUGAAUUCGUUCCCGGGCCUUGUACACACCGCCCGUCACACCAUGGAAGCUGAUCACGCCCGAAGUCGUUACCCCAACUUUUCGGAGAGGGGGAUGCCGAAGGCAGGAUUGGUGACUGGGGUGAAGUCGUAACAAGGCAGCCGUACCGGAAGGUGUGGCUG